GAUGAACGCUGGCGGCGUGCCUAAUACAUGCAAGUCGAGCGAACGGACGAGAAGCUUGCUUCUCUGAUGUUAGCGGCGGACGGGUGAGUAACACGUGGAUAACCUACCUAUAAGACUGGGAUAACUUCGGGAAACCGGAGCUAAUACCGGAUAAUAUUUUGAACCGCAUGGUUCAAAAGUGAAAGACGGUCUUGCUGUCACUUAUAGAUGGAUCCGCGCUGCAUUAGCUAGUUGGUAAGGUAACGGCUUACCAAGGCAACGAUGCAUAGCCGACCUGAGAGGGUGAUCGGCCACACUGGAACUGAGACACGGUCCAGACUCCUACGGGAGGCAGCAGUAGGGAAUCUGCCGCAAUGGGCGAAAGCCUGACGGAGCAACGCCGCGUGAGUGAUGAAGGUCUUCGGAUCGUAAAACUCUGUUAUUAGGGAAGAACAUAUGUGUAAGUAACUGUGCACAUCUUGACGGUACCGAAUCAGAAAGCCACGGCUAACUACGU
This 496-nucleotide ribosomal RNA is filed under the name uncultured bacterium. RNAcentral's name for it is "partial 16S ribosomal RNA". It matches the Rfam family "Bacterial small subunit ribosomal RNA", at positions 28 to 506 of the family's 1533-position model. The record is from RNAcentral.